CAAUAGCGUAUAUUUAAGUUGUUGCAGUUAAAAAGCUCGUAGUUGGAUUUCGGGUAGGAUUUGCCGGUCCGUCUUUGAGAUGUGUACUGGUAAGUCCUAUCUUCUUGUCGGGGACCAGCUCCUGGGCUUCACUGUCCGGGACUGGGAGCCGACGAAGUUACUUUGAGUAAAUUAGAGUGUUCAAAGCAAGCCUACGCUCUGAAUACAUUAGCAUGGAAUAACACGAUAGGACUCUGGCCUAUCUUGUUGGUCUGUAGGACCGGAGUAAUGAUUAAGAGGGACAGUCGGGGGCAUUCGUAUUUCAUUGUCAGAGGUGAAAUUCUUGGAUUUAUGAAAGACGAACUACUGCGAAAGCAUUUGCCAAGGAUGUUUUCAUUAA
RNAcentral lists this ribosomal RNA (379 nucleotides) under uncultured eukaryote. Its description in RNAcentral is "partial 18S ribosomal RNA". It matches the Rfam family "Eukaryotic small subunit ribosomal RNA", at positions 592 to 976 of the family's 1831-position model. The record is from RNAcentral.